Molecule: long non-coding RNA, 256 nt
Filed under: Lathyrus oleraceus (garden pea)
Lineage: Eukaryota; Viridiplantae; Streptophyta; Magnoliopsida; Fabales; Fabaceae
Description: Pisum sativum (pea) long non-coding RNA (PSAT_LNC020512)
Source: RNAcentral
UUAAAGUGCAUUAAAUGAAAUGGAAUGAGAUAAUCAACAAGUUAUGACCAAAGAUAGAGAAGAUCAAGGUCAAACAAUAGAAAACAGAGGCAAAAUGAGAAUUAGAAGUCAAGAAACAAAUAAAAUAUUUUUGGCAUUUUUUUAAUAUUGAAAUAAAACUUGAAUUAAAAUAAUAAAGAAAGGUCAAACUUCAAAUUCACUUCACAUCAACUUUGAAAGGUCCAAGUGAAUUAUCCCAAGUUCAACAAGGUCAAAC